Long non-coding RNA from Humulus lupulus (European hop), 1131 nucleotides. RefSeq lists it as uncharacterized. The record is from RefSeq and is a predicted model, not a curated record. NCBI's taxonomy places the organism in Eukaryota, Viridiplantae, Streptophyta, Magnoliopsida, Rosales, Cannabaceae. The transcript has 8 exons.
ACGUUGAUAAAAUGAAAAUCUACAGAGAAAAGUCCAAUCAAAUAAGAAAAAUAAGCUGUUCGAUCUCGAGACUCGGUUCGACUCGGUGCUCGACUCGCCUCGAUGAUGGUCCGCUGAGUUCGAGAGGAAGAUCGAUUCCAUGCUGCGAUCUGUCGUCGUCUGGAGCGAUGGGUCGCUCACGCAGAUUCGCACCAGGCACUGCUCUGAUCGAUCGCUCUCUUACGCUGCCGAAAGCCAAGCGCCUCUGCUUGCCCAGUGUCGUCUCCUAUGUUUACCUCUGAGGUUAUCGUUGCUGGAGAAGAAGAGAUGGGUAUCGAUUGGGGGCGCCGAUCUGAGUGACAGUGUGAAUGAGGAUCCGAGCACCUCCAUUUCUUCUGAUAUGUUCUUCUACAUCUUCACAGCGAGUCGAUGGCUGCCGAAGACUCUUCUUUCUCAGAUCUGAGUUUCGCUGGGAACCUUCAACCAGGAACAACCAAGGUGAGGUUAAGAGAAAUAAAGAGAGAGAAUUUUGGGGCUGAUAGUUUUCACGGGAGAAGAAGAUCCAAUUGGUGGGGGACCUAAAUCUGAAAAAAAUCAGAGGUAACGUUAGGUAGUAACCUUUUGGGAAGGAGAAAUUGUUGACACCAAGAAUUAUACUUUCUUCACUGGCAAAUGGGAAGCAACACCAGAGGAUGAUAUAAGGCACUGGACCAAGUUUUCUUCUUUUAAUUCUUUACUUCCGUAGGGAACGUGAAUUUAAGGUGACCAUCAAGUUUGCUUCGAAGCCAGACUUACAUCAUCUGCGACAGUUUUUACAGAGCAGGCAACUUGAUGCUCCUCAAGAGACAAUUCAAGCACUGGAUGUUGCUCUCAGAGGAGAUCCAUCGGAUAAGUAUACUGUUGUUGGGAGGUUGUUUUUUCACCUCACACUGGGGCGUCCUGUCAUUUGCAGAAUACAAGGACUUAUAAGAUUACUGGGAUAUCGACAGAGCCACUGAACAAAUUAAUGUUUACUCUUGAUGAUAAGAUGACACAGAUUUCAGUUGCUGCUUAAACUUUACCAUUAAACUACAUACACUCGGUUUGUUGCUUCUUCUAUUUGCAGGUUCAACAAGCUUUUUCAGACCUGGAGAGGGAGCGUGGUUAUCUUGU